AAAAUUCCACAGACUGGGUGGCUUAAGCAACAGACAUUUCCUUUUUCACUGUUGUGAAAGUUUUACGUCCAAGAUCAAAUUGUUGUCACGGUCGGUUGCUGGUAAGACCUCUCUUCCUGUAGAAGGCUGCCUUCUUUCUGUGUCCUCACAUCAAUCGGUGUAAAAAUAUAAAGCAUUGACACUUAAAGUGGAGUUCAAAGGAAAGUCAUCCUGGGAUGGGGUGAGAAUGUUGGAGCCGCUGGACAAGAGGAUGCUACUUGGCACUUUCUCUCAAAAGAUCACAGAGAAGCAGGCAGAGAAGAGAAGAGGAAGCAGGCUCCCUGCUGAGCAGAGAGCCCGAUGCGGGACUCGAUCCCAGGACUCUGGGAUCAUGACCUGAGCCGAAGGCAGAGGCUUUAACCCACUGAGCCACCCAGGCACCCCGGCUUAUUUCAUUUAGCAUAAUGCCCUCAAGAUCCAUCCAUGUUGUCACAAAUGGCAGGAUUUUCUUGUGUUUUGACUGAAUUUUAUAUAUUUUUUCUCUUUAUCCAUUCAGCCAUAAUGGAUAAAGAGAAAAAAUUCAACAUCGACUUAGGUUGUUUCCAUAUCUUGACUAUUGUAAAUAAUGUUACAAUGAUCAUAGGGGUGCACAUAUAUUUCAACUUAGUGUUUCAUUUCCUUCAAAUAAAUACCCAAAA
This is a long non-coding RNA of Mustela lutreola (European mink), 677 nucleotides long. RefSeq lists it as uncharacterized. The transcript has 3 exons. Lineage: Eukaryota; Metazoa; Chordata; Mammalia; Carnivora; Mustelidae. The record is from RefSeq and is a predicted model, not a curated record.